RNAcentral lists this unclassified non-coding RNA (320 nucleotides) under plant metagenome. RNAcentral's name for it is "partial contains 5.8S ribosomal RNA, internal transcribed spacer 2, and large subunit ribosomal RNA". The stretch from base 1 to 105 matches the Rfam family "5.8S ribosomal RNA", at positions 50 to 154 of the family's 154-position model. The record is from RNAcentral.
GAAAUGCGAUAAGUAAUGGGAAUUGCAGAAUUCAGUGAAUCAUCGAAUCUUUGAACGCACUUUGCGCCCGCCAGUAUUCUGGCGGGCAUGCCUGUUCGAGCGUCAUUACAACCCUCAGGCCCCCGGGCCUGGCGUUGGGGAUCGGCGGAAGCCCCCUGCGGGCACAACGCCGUCCCCCAAAUACAGUGGCGGUCCCGCCGCAGCUUCCAUUGCGUAGUAGCUAACACCUCGCAACUGGAGAGCGGCGCGGCCACGCCGUAAAACACCCAACUUCUGAAUGUUGACCUCGAAUCAGGUAGGAAUACCCGCUGAACUUAAGC